AGCAUUGAAUCACAAAGGUCACAUUCUCAAGCCUGGGCCUAAGGCCUAGUUUUUAUGUUAUGCUCUUUCAGUGCAAGAGCUUUAUAUAAAGAGUAAACUCUCUAGCUCCAAUAUACUCUGUACUGUGUAGAGAAUGCCCAAUCUUUGAGAAGACUUCAAGAAGGAAAAAGAAAAAUUCUAAAAAUUAUGUUAAAACAUCAACAUGGAAUUAAUAGACAAGAAUUGUAAAUGUCUCCUCACCACUGGAAACAAAAGAUCUUCAUGUUUACCAUGUGAGAAGACCAAGUUCAAAAGGAGGAUUUAGUCACCUAUGAUGGCCUGCAUGUGAACUUCACUCAGGAAGAGUGGGCUUUACUGGAUCCUUCUCAGAAGAAUCUCUACAAAGAUGUGAUGCUAGAGACCUAUAGGAAUCUCUCAGCUAUAGGCAUGAAAGAAAUUGUACUGCAGUGCAACACUCUGAGUUUAUUCAAUGUGGUAAAGCCUUUGCAUAUCAGAGUCUUAGACAAAGGCAUGAAAGAACACAUAAUGGAGAGAAAGACUAUUGCUGUAACCAAUGUGGUAAAAACUUUAUAAUAAGCAGUCAUCUCCAAAUACAUAAACGAAGAAAUACAGGAGACAAACCCUAUGAAUGUAACCAAUGUGGUAAAGCCUUUGCAGGAAGUGGUGACUUCCA
Mus musculus (house mouse) is the source of this 673-nucleotide long non-coding RNA. RefSeq lists it as uncharacterized. Lineage: Eukaryota; Metazoa; Chordata; Mammalia; Rodentia; Muridae. The transcript has 3 exons. The record is from RefSeq and is a predicted model, not a curated record.